AGGUGCCUACUCGUCGUCUCGUAAUGGUAUCCAAUGCCAUGUAGCGUGCCACGCAGCUGACGAUAGUUCGUUAUGCAACAGUGAUCAGUUCGAGUACUCCACGUGCACAUACCGGACUAACGCCAAUACCGAAGCAUGCAAGAAACUGAGGAUCGGAAGGGAUUCUUUUACACUAACCUGUGCCGAAAACUGUCAAGAAGGCUGUGAUUCUAAUGGCUGUACCGAGUGUUGUUACACUGACUACUGCUUCGACCGGGAUGGAAGAAACGGAACUACGUCACUUGUGGUCACGUGGGUUGUAAUGGGCGUAACCCUUUUUGCGAGUAUCUUCGUAUCCACAUAUUAAGGCGACCGCACACCUUGCGAUUGGUCUGCGACUCAAUUUUGGAAUAAAACGUAGUAGAAUUUGAUGCUAAUAUUGAGACUAUUGGAAUAUUUUACUGUGUAAUGUUCGAAAUCAUCGUAUGAAUCCCUGAGUUCAAAUAAUGUGAUUUUGCUAUCAUCCUUCUUAGAAUAACGGCGAAUUUAAUAUCUAGUCGUAACGACGUCAUAGCAGUCGUACGAUUGGCUACGAUUUGAAACUAAUUUGGAAUUUGUUCAAAAAUAAAGGUUUACAAUCUUACAAAAUGGUAAUAUAAGUAUAAAAGGACAUGUUCCAUUCACAUUUUCAGAAAAUGAGCAAAAUGCGAUUUGUUCCUAAAUCGGAUCGCGAACAGUCGUAAGGUGUGCGGUGGUGGCCUUCGGAAAGUGAUAAUAACGUGCAAAAAUUGUCUUAAUCUCGAGAACGCCAUGAAAAAUACUGUGGAAAUUGUAAUGGAGUGGGAUAAGAUUCUCCUCGUAGACCCCUGAACAAGAAUGAUUUUUAUGAGGUCACAGUAUUUUGUGUGUACUUUUUGCAUUGGAGUAAAUGUCAUAAAAGCUUUGGAAUUGCGAGCAAUAAUGUGAACUAUACUUAAGUCAAUUAUACAGAAGGCUGGUGUUUCAACAGUCGAUUCCUUGUGAAAAUUUGACUUGUGACUUUAUUUUAAAUCAAGUCCCCUCUCUCGGCUAUGUUUCUAUUCUUCUUAAAACUGGCAAUUUGAUCACUGAUCUUUAUUUAUUGGCUAUUAGAAAGCUAUAGACGAAGAUUAGAUCCAGGGGGGAGCAGUGUGGUUCACAAAGAUUGAAGUAUGACUUUGAGUCGAACUUAAAUGCCUCGCUGCAUGCGGUAUAAAGGGCAUGACCGCAUUGGUCAGAUCACUCUCGGUCAUACUUAAAUCUAUGUGAAACACCCCCAGAAAAAAUCAGCCGUUUUCAUACUUGGGAAGAUUUUUUUUAUUUAAUUAUAUAAAUACAAAAAUAAGCAGAUACUUCACUUUGAUUGGCCCACCUGAUAAAUAUUCAUGACAGUGCUUCCACUUUUCAAAACGGAAUUUCCUGGAAUUUACUCUGAAAGUUCUUGGAAGUUUACAAAAUAUCCUGGAAUUUUCUGAACGGUUCUCCAGUUUUCCAUUAGUUAUAAUUCUCUUUUAUACACACAAAAAAUGAAAUAUGUGGCCCAGUGCCGUAAUUGAGCCAAAAAUUUUGAGAAGGCGAAACAUGACGUAAAGGGCAAAGUUUAUAAAGAGUUGCGAGCGAGCGAGCAAAAUUUUUGACAUUUUAAUCAAAAUGAUCCAAUUUUGUGAUAGAUUUUGACAUAAUAUUCAGAUGAAAUAUCUUUCUCGAAAAUGAUAUACUUCCUGGAAAACUUCCUGGAAUUUCUCACUUCCUGGAAUGAUCCUGGAAAAUAGCAAAACUUCCUGGAAUUUCCUGGAUUCCAGGAAAGGUGGAAGCACUGAUUCACGAAGACAUGCCUAGAACUGUUUCACCGUAAUAAUGCAAAUAUUUAAAAUUCAAUAACUUCGUUACUUAUCCGAUUUCGAUCAAAUUUUCAGCAUAUUGUUCUGUGAAUUCUACUCUAUUUAAUGAGAUAUAAAUAUCUCCAGCCUGGACCACCCCUUUACUAUCACAGUCAAUUAUAAAGUUGUUUAAAACAAUUUUGAACGUUGUUUAAGCCCGCCUCUAUAACAACUAUUGCUUUAAGUUUUAAACUUUUUGAAGUUGAAGAAAAAGGUUUAAACAAUUCAAAAAAGUUUAAACAAUUGUUUUAAAAGUUUGAACAAUUUUUGGUUAGAGUGACGGGUCUAAAUAACGUGCGUACAUUUUAAACAGCGUAUUUAAAGUGUAUAGGUCACAAAAUGUUGUUACUAUAAACUUGUCCUCUUUAUUUCCCCCUCAUUUGUUUUAGUUCUGAUCAUUCAUUAUCACUUGGAAUUCAUAGAGGCGGUCCCCUUGCUACAUUGUCACACUUGCCCUACUAAUUUGUUUAUACGACUGUGUUGAUAAAUUAAUUCUUUGUAGCUACACAUAAAACAUCAAGCUUCAUACAAAAUUGAAAUAUAUGGAUCAUAAUGGAAUGUGAUAUUAUAUACAGGCCUCUAUUCAAAUGCUUCACAACGCUGUAUAUAGCAUGGGCUAUAGGACGACUACCUUGAUAUGCUUUCAUAGAUUUUGUUGUUCACAUUAAUUUCGGAAAGGAAUAUUUUUAUGAUAAUGUAAUACCAGAGACUUAAAAGUCUGGGGUUAAUCCAGUACAAUUUAGCCACACCUGCGAAUUCUACAAUUAUUUUCAAAAUAGUAAGGGGGGUGGGCGUUCCAUAUUCGUACCUUUUCUAGUUACUAACCGUAGGGAAUAUGCCAAAUGUAUUUUUAGUGCCUGGUGCAUGUUGUAAAACAUAAGAACUCCUUUUCUUUACCCAUAAAAGUAUUUUGUAUAUAUUUGUAUAUCAAAAAAGACCUGAAAAAGCAAAAGUACUAAAAUAUCCCUUUCCGUUACUAACAUACUUUUGACUGAAAUAAAUUAAAAACACUGAAAAUCAA
Long non-coding RNA from Lytechinus pictus (painted urchin), 2898 nucleotides. RefSeq lists it as uncharacterized. Lineage: Eukaryota; Metazoa; Echinodermata; Echinoidea; Temnopleuroida; Toxopneustidae. The record is from RefSeq and is a predicted model, not a curated record. The transcript is spliced from 3 exons.